CAUUAUUAAAAACACACAAAGUCUACUUGUGAGUCGUGUUUUAUUGUCAUAAAUAUCGCAUCUUACAAAAGAUUUAUUUUUUUUUUAAAAAAGGUUACAAACACGAGCUGUAGUGAAAGAAAAACAUCGACUGUGUUCAAUGUGGCUCCAUACGUCGGGUUCUUAGUAGCGCGUCUCGGGCUCCAAUACGGUGCACGUGUAUAAACGUGAACAUUUUGCACAAAAAUGACUACAAUGUGGGCCUCUUUGGCUUUCUUUUAUUUAUUUAAAAAAAAAAAACAUACAAAAAUACAGUAGAAAGAAAUGAGGUAUAAAACAAAUGUACAAAACUAAACAGGGAGAAGAGUCACCUUUUUUCUUUGGGUGGGGUGGGGUGGAUGGGUGUUUAUAAAGACGCAGUGGCUUUGGCGACGGCUGACAGAAGCGCUCUUUCCCAAUGUGUGAACGCUACACCAAAAAAAAAAAAACAUCCCCGAAAAAUUAGCACCAUGUAACAGUGGCUCUGUUAUUACACGUCCUCCCUGAAACACACAAAACAGCCGGGUUAGGUCAUCGGACCACGACAUCCAACUCGGAGCCGGCGUUUGGGUUCUGCACGAAACACCCACGCGCAUCAUCUGGGAAAUGCUUUGAAGCCUUUGUGUCCCAUUGUUUUCGACACUUCAUCCCAAGUACAGUCAUUUGUCUCCAGGCACCCUUUACCGUGUGUGCUUGUGGUCUGUUAUUUUCAUUCACUCGCCUUUAUUAGCAUGUCUCACACACACACACACACACACACACACACAGGAUCAACUGAGUGUCUUGCAAUUAGGCUUUGAAAUACACAGUAUAACAGUCUGGAUUUGUUUGUUUUGGCACAUUUUCAAAGAAGAUGGUGAUUUUUAAAAUUUCUAACAUCUGCCUUUCGUGUGUUGAAGACUGUACAGGUUCCUGUUUAAAGACGUGCAACUCGGAGUUAUACGUCGUGUACAGCGAACGGAUUCAUACCGGUUUUGGCACAAACCCACAUUUUACAGUGGUUGGAGGUCAGUUCCUAUCUACACACCAGCAGCAGCAGCAGCACGACG
Ictalurus punctatus (channel catfish) is the source of this 1067-nucleotide long non-coding RNA. NCBI's taxonomy places the organism in Eukaryota, Metazoa, Chordata, Actinopteri, Siluriformes, Ictaluridae. The record is from Ensembl.